Canis lupus familiaris (dog) is the source of this 909-nucleotide long non-coding RNA. RefSeq lists it as uncharacterized. The transcript has 4 exons. NCBI's taxonomy places the organism in Eukaryota, Metazoa, Chordata, Mammalia, Carnivora, Canidae. The record is from RefSeq and is a predicted model, not a curated record.
CAAUGCAAAUGCUCUCUCUUCCUGUAGAGAUGUAUAUAAUUUUCAGAAGAUAUCACUAAAAGUUACAGUUUCAUUUCCCUGGAGGACAUUAACCAGGUCGAAUGGGUUUCUGUUCCUCACAACCAAAGAAAUCUUGUCUUAGAUGGACACUGAAAAGGAGCGUUCAAUUAAGCAUCAAACAAGAAGAAACAUGGAACAUAGUCCUCUACCAACAGAAAUUGUACAGCUGAAUUCCCUGUGCUUGAGGAAAUUGCAGGGGUCAGAAUGACCUGAAUGCAAUAGAUGAGCCUCACCCUGAGAGAACUACCUUCAUGAUCAUGCUAUCUGUCCUGCCAGUUGGCAUCUUGAAGAAUCCCUUAUGACUACUUAACAUAAGGGGGGAAAAAAGAAGCCUGAUUUCCAGAAGGUUCUGCAUGACAUGAUGGUGCUGGCCAGAAGUGGACUGCUAAUAAACACAUGAAAAGAUAUACUCAAUAGCAUUAAUCAUCAAGGAAAUGCAAAUCAAACCCACAUGAGAUACCACUUCAUACUGACGAAGACAGCUGUCAUCAAAAAGUCAGGUAAGGAGGUGGAGAAAUCAGAACCCUCAUAUACCGCUGAAGGGAAUGUACAUUGUUGCAGCUGCUUUGGAAAAUAGUCUGGCAGUUCCUCAAAUGACUAAACACAGAGUUACCAUGAGACCUAGGGAUUUCACUCCUAUGUAUAUACCUAAGAGAAAUGAAAACAUUUGUUUACCCAAAUGUUUAUUUGAGCACCAAAUGUUUAUAUGAAUGUUUAUAGGAGCACUAUUUAUAAUAGCCAAAAUGUAAAAACAAUUUAAAUGUCCAUCAACUGAAGAAUGGAUAAACAAAAUGUGAUGCAUUCACGUACUGAAAUAUUAUUCAGCCACAGAAAGAGGUGAGGUACUGA